This 541-nucleotide unclassified non-coding RNA is filed under the name Hevea brasiliensis (rubber tree). The record is from RNAcentral. Lineage: Eukaryota; Viridiplantae; Streptophyta; Magnoliopsida; Malpighiales; Euphorbiaceae.
CAAUCAUGUCCUUGACUAACUCUUUCCCAAUAGGAGAUAGAGAAACGCCAAAAUAAAAUCAGAAAGUCGUGCAACCAGAAAAGGAUAAACUACAACACUGAGACCAAUCUCAUACACAAAGAAAGCAUGGAAAAGAGAAAAAGAAGAACAGAGGUAUAGCAUGUUCAUGACUGCUAAGAUAGAUCCAAAAGAAGCAUUCCUCAGUGACAGCAUUCGUUUGCUGAACUCUAAAGGAUGCUCUGCUCUUGAUAAGAAUUUAGGAUAAUCUAGCUCAACAACAACACCAACUAAGCCUUAAUCUCAAAAAAUUAGCUCACGGACCAAAAAGUUUGCCAUUGUGCUAGUAGCUCAACGAGCAAGUGCUUGCCUUGCAUUCCAGAAUGUUACCAAAAGAAAAUAAUUAAAACAAAAAAUUGUUAUCAAAUAUCAUAAGAAGGUGCAAAUGAGAUGAGCAAACGAAAUUGACUACCUCCCAUCCCUCUUCCUGUGGACCACCAGGCUCAAUGGCUGGCCCUAGAAAAAGUUGACCAAACAAAGCUGG